GUACACAGUUGACUCCCUCAGUAAGCCCCGUGUUAAAAUAUUGUUGGCUGGCUAACAAGUUUUUUUAUUAUUUUUUUUGCAGUCUUGCAAAUAAAUGGUUUUAUAUUGUAAAUUGAGAUCCCAUUUGUAAAAUGGAAUGUAUUCGAGUUUAUCUGGAGAGCCUGAAGCAAGGACUGCAAAUUGAUGUCUUGAGGGAAGUUGGACGUCAAUAUCCUGUCUUUUGCUUUCUUCUGGUUUUCAUGCUGUCAUUAACUAUACUUCUUAAUAGGUAUCUUCACAUUCUGAUGGUGUUUUGGUCCUUCCUGGCUGGAGUGAUUACGUUCUAUUGCUCCCUCGGUCCAGAAUCACUCCUGCCCAACAUCCUGUACACCAUAAAGCCCAAGAACAAACAAGAGCAACAGGAGCUGUUUCCAUUGGGACACAGCUGUGCAGUGUGUGGGAAAGUAAAGUGCAAACGUCACAGACCAACAUUACUCCUAGAAAACUAUCAGCCAUGGUUGGACUUGAAAGUCUACUCCAAAGUGGAUGCUUCCAUGUCUGAGGUGCUCGAGUUGGUUCUGGAGAAUUUUGUAUAUCCCUGGUACCGGAACAUCACAGAUGAUGAGGCAUGUGUAGAUGAACUGAGAAUGACCUUUCGGUUCUUUGCAUCUGUGUUAGUUCGACGCGCUCAGAAGGUUGAUGUCCCCUCAGUUAUUUCUGGCAAAAUGAUGAAAGCAGCUAUGAAGCACGUUGAAAUAAUUGCAAAGGCCAAGCAAAAAGUGAAGAACACUGAGGGAUUGCAGCAGGCUGCUCUGGUUGAGUAUGGCCCUGACUUACAUUUUGCCCUGCAUAGUCGCAAAGAUGAGCUGCGUUAUCUCAGGAAGGUGACAAAGAUGCUAUUUGCCUAUCUCAUGCCUCCCAAAGCCACUGACUGCAGAUCUCUAGCUGUGCUGAUGCAAGAGAUCCUGGUAGGCUCUGUGUUCCUCCCCAUCAUGGACUUCAUGGCUGAUCCUGAUACUGUGAACCACAUGGUGCUAAUAUUCGUUGAUGACACUCCAUCUGAGCCGGCCAUGGAGCCACCAUCUAGCCUGGUUCCAUUCCUGCAGAAAUACGCUGACCCUCGUACCAAGAAGACAUCUGUGCUGAAGCUGGAGCUGAAGGAGAUUCGGGAGCAGCAGGACCUUCUGUUCCGCUUCAUGAACUUCCUAAAGCAGGAGGGAGCUGUGCACGUGCUCCAGUUCUUACUCACCGUGGAGGAGUUCAAUGAUAAGAUCCUGUGUCCAGAGCUGAGUGAAGCUGAGCUGCAGCGUCUGCAUGGUGAGGUGCAGCACGUCUACGAGACCUACUGCUUGGAGGAGAGUAUCGACAAGAUCAGUUUUGACCGGUUCAUCGUUGAGGAAAUACGAAACAUUGCAGAGGGGCCGUACGAGGGAGUGGUGAAGCUGCAGACUAUGCGCUGCCUGUUUGAGGCCUACGAGCAUGUCCUGUCCCUGCUGGAGAGUGUCUUCACCCCCAUGUUCUGCCACAGCGAUGGGUAUUUCAGAUACCUGCUGAUGGGGGCAGAGUCUCCAAAAAGGGACUCCAGAAUGAACAGGAAUAGUCUGAGUGUGGAUGAUAUGAGGAACGUCUCAAAACGAGGGGAGACGUUUGGGAUCAGCCGGAUCGGCAGCAAAAUCAAAGGCGUCUUCAAGAGCACCACCAUGGAGGGGGCGAUGCUGCCGUACUCCAUGUGCGAUGCUGAAGAUGAAGCGGUUGAGGAAGCGACUAUGGUGAUGGAGGAUGACUCCCCUGUGGAGGCAGCUAGUACUCCAGGAGUCCUGAGGAACUUGUCAGCCUGGAGCAUCACCAUCCCCUACAUUGACUUCUACGAUGACGAGGUGAAGAAGGAGAGGGUCCCCGUGUUCUGCAUCGACGUGGAACGCAAUGACAUGAAGGAAGUGGGACAUGAAACAGAGGACUGGUCCAUCUUCAGACGAUACAUGGAAUUCUACGUUCUAGAAAAUAAACUCACAGAGUUCCACGGCUCAUUUGCAGAUGCACAGCUCCCUUCGAAAAGAAUUAUAGGACCAAAGAACUAUGAGUUCCUAUCAUCAAAGAGGGAAGAAUUUGAGGAGUAUUUGCAGAGACUGCUGCAGCACCCAGAGUUGAGUAACAGUCAGCUGUUGGCAGACUUCCUGUCACCUCACAGCAUGGAGACUCAGUUCAUGGACAAGAUGAUGCCUGAUGUAAACCUGGGUAAAAUAUUCAGGUCUGUCCCUGGAAAAAUUAUAAAAGAGAAAGGACAGAACCUAGAGCCUUUCAUCCAGUCCUUCUUCAACUCUUGUGAAUCUCCCAAAGUCAAACCCAGCAGGCCUGAGCUGACCACCCUCAGCUCUACUGCUGAGUACAACAAGCUCUCCAAUGACCUCUACAAAAACAAUGCUAAUCUGUUUGAGACCCUGGAGACACAUAACCGGAACUACUUUAUGGAGAUGAUCUCGGUAGAAGGGAUGUAUGACUACAUGAUGUUUAUGGGUCGAGUCGUGUUCCACAUGCCAGACUGGAUGCAUCACAUCCUGUCAGGGGGGCGGAUCUUGCUCAAGAACACAUUUGAGGCCUACAUGGAUAGCUACAUUCAACACAAACUAGAGAUGAUCCUGCAGGAGCACCGUGUGGUGUCUCUCGUCACCAUGCUCAGAGAUGCUGUGUUCUGCGAGAACAGUGAGGAACGCACCACAGGAGACAAGCAGAGAAGAGCCAAGAAGGCAUUUGAAGAGAUGAUUAAUUAUCUGCCAGACUUUAUGGAAAAGUGCAUUGGACAGGAGGCCAAGUACGAGGGCAUCCGACUUCUCUUUGACGGCUUCCAGCAGCCACUUCUCAACAAGCAGAUGACGUACGUUCUGAUGGAUAUUGCUGUCGAAGAACUGUUUCCAGAACUCGGCAAGGUAAACUUCUGAGAAUCAGCUAUACAGAGCCUUGCAAAAGUAUUCAUCCCCCUUGGCGUUAUUCCUAUUUUGUUGCAUUACAACCUGUAAUUUAAAUAGAUUUUUAUUUGGAUUUCAUGUAAUGGACAGACACAACAUAGUCCAAAUUGGUGAAGUGAAAAAAAUUACUUAUUUAAAAAAAGAAAUGUAAAAGUGGUGUGUGUAUGUAUUCACCCCCUUUGCUAUGAAGCCCCUAAAUAAAACCUGGUGCAACCAAUUACCUUCAGAAGUCACAUGGUUAGUAAAAGUCCACCUGUGUGCAAUCUGUGUCACAUGAUCUCAGUAUACAUACACCUGUUCUGAAAGGGCCCAGAGUCUGCAACACCAGUAAGCAAGAGGCACCACCAAGCAAGCAGCACUAUGAUGACCAAGGAGCUCUCCAAAUAGGUCAGGGACAAAGUUGUGGAGAAGUACAGAUCAGGGUUGGGUUAUAAAAAAAUAUCAGAAACGUUGAACAUUCCACGGAGCACAAUUAAAUCCAUUAUUAAAAAAAUUGAAAGAAUACGGCACAACAAACCUUCCAAGAGAGGGCCGCCCACCAAAACUCACAGACCAUGCAAGGAGGGCAUCAAUCAGAGAGUCAACAAAGAGAUCAAAGAUAACCCUGACGGAGCUGCAAAGCUCCACAGCGGAGAUUGGAGUAUUUGUUGCAGUAUAGGACCGCCUUAAGCCGUACACUCCACAGAGCUGGGCUUUACGGAAGAGUGGCCAGAAAAAGCCAUUGCUUAAAGAAAUAAAUUGGUGUUCGCCAAAGGCAUGUGGGAGACUCCCCAAACAUUGAAGAAGGUACUCUGAUCAGAUGAGACUAAAAUAUAGAUGUUUGGCCAUCAAGGAAAACGCUAUGUCUGGUGCAAACCCAACACCUCUCAUCACCCGAGAACACCAUCCCUACAGUGAAGUAUGGUGGUGGCAACAUCUUGCUGUGGGGAUGUUUUUCAUUGGCAGGAACUGGGAAACUGGUCAGAAUUGAAGGAAUGAUGGAUGGCGCUAAAUACAGGGAAAUUCUUGAGGGAAACCUGUUUCAGUCUUCCAGAGAUUUGAGACUGGCACGGAGGUUCACUUGGGACGGAGGACAAUGACCCUAAGCAUACUGCCAAAGUAACACUCGAGUGGUUUAAGGGGAAACAUUUAAAUGUCUUGGAAUGGCCUAGUCAAAGCCCAGACCUUAAUCCAAUUGAGAAUCUGAAGUAUGACUUAAAGAUUGCUGUACACCAGCAGAACCCAUCCAACUUGAAGAAUGGGCAAAAAUCCCAGUGGCUUGAUGUUCCAAGCUUAUAGAGACAUACCCCAAGAGACUUGCAGCUGUAAUUGCUGCAUAAGGUGGCUCUACAAAGUAUUGACUUUGGGGGGGGGGGGGGGGGGGGGGUGAAAAGUUAUGCAAGCUCAAGUUUUCAGUUUUUUGUCUUUCUUGUUUGUUUCACCAAAAAUAUUUUGCAUCUUCAAAGUGGUAGGCAUGUUGUGUAAAUCAAAUGAUACACCCCCCCCCCCCCCUCACAAAAUUCAUUUUAAUUCCAGGUUGUAAGGCAACAAAAUAUGAAAAAUGCCAAGGGGGGUGAAUACUUUUGCAAGCCACUGUAUGCAGGGCAACCAUUCGUAAUACGUUUGUAGUACGUUUGUCAUAAUAUGUAUGCCUACGAGCUGACAAGGUACAAAUCUGUCGUUCUGCCCCUGAACAGGCAGUUAACCCACUGUUCCCAGGCCGUCAUUGAAAAUAAGAAUGUGUUCUUAACUGACUUGCCUGGUUAAAUAAAGAAGGGACAAGGGGAGCAGUCGGCAGACAGUAACCAGUUAAUUUAGAAAACAGCUUGCUUCCUUUUCCUGGAGCCAAAGUGCAAUACAGCAAAUUCCAAUGUCUCUGUGAGCAUAUAUCAACAUUCCAAUGUCUCUGUGAGCAUAUAUCAACAUUCCAAUGUCUCUGUGAGCAUAUAUCAACAUUCCAAUGUCUCUGUGAGCAUAUAUCAACAUUCCAAUGUAUAAUAAUGCAUUAAUAAAAAUAUAUUUAUAGAUUUUA
Oncorhynchus kisutch (coho salmon) is the source of this 4953-nucleotide RNA transcript. It is a transcript of the gene named sorting nexin-14, with no coding region annotated. The transcript has 30 exons. The record is from RefSeq and is a predicted model, not a curated record. Lineage: Eukaryota; Metazoa; Chordata; Actinopteri; Salmoniformes; Salmonidae.